Molecule: ribosomal RNA, 233 nt
Filed under: uncultured bacterium
Lineage: Bacteria
Description: partial 16S ribosomal RNA
Rfam family: Bacterial small subunit ribosomal RNA
Source: RNAcentral
CCCGAUUAGUGGCGGACGGGUGAGUAACGCGUAGGGAUUUAUCGUUGGGUGGGGGACGAACCCUGGGAAACUGGGGCUAAUACCGCAUGACGCCUGUGGGCCAAAGUCGCGAGGCGCCUGACGAGAAGCCUGCGUCCGAUUAGCUAGUUGGUGGGGUAAGGGCUUACCAAGGCAUCGAUCGGUAGCUGGUCUGAGAGGAUGAUCAGCCACACUGGGACUGAGACACGGCCCAG